RNAcentral lists this ribosomal RNA (253 nucleotides) under uncultured bacterium. Its description in RNAcentral is "partial 16S ribosomal RNA". It matches the Rfam family "Bacterial small subunit ribosomal RNA", at positions 524 to 776 of the family's 1533-position model. The record is from RNAcentral.
UACGUAGGGGGCAAGCGUUGUCCGGAUUUAUUGGGCGUAAAGAGCGUGUAGGCGGCCGUACAGGUCAGCUGUGAAAAAUCGAGGCUCAACCUCGAGACGUCGGUUGAAACCGUACGGCUAGAGUCCGGAAGAGGAGAGUGGAAUUCCCGGUGUAGCGGUGAAAUGCGCAGAUAUCGGGAAGAACACCCGUGGCGAAGGCGGCUCUCUGGGACGGUACUGACGCUGAGGCGCGAAAGCGUGGGGAGCGAACAGG